UACCCUGUAGAUCCAAAUUUGUGA
Molecule: non-coding RNA, 24 nt
Filed under: Gallus gallus (chicken)
Lineage: Eukaryota; Metazoa; Chordata; Aves; Galliformes; Phasianidae
Also listed under: 1 other name
Source: RNAcentral